UACAGAGACUGCAAGCGUUAUUCGGAUUCACUGGGCGUAAAGGGUGCGCAGGCGGCCGCAUGUGUCAGGUGUGAAAUCCUGGGGCUUAACUCCAGAAUUGCGCCUGAAACUAUGCGGCUAGAGUGCCGGAGAGGAUAGCGGAAUUCACGGUGUAGCAGUGAAAUGCGUAGAUAUCGUGAAGAACACCAGCGGCGAAGGCGGCUAUCUGGAAGGCAACUGACGCUCAGGCACGAAAGCGUGGGGAG
Molecule: ribosomal RNA, 245 nt
Filed under: uncultured bacterium
Lineage: Bacteria
Description: partial 16S ribosomal RNA
Rfam family: Bacterial small subunit ribosomal RNA
Source: RNAcentral